Ictalurus punctatus (channel catfish) is the source of this 397-nucleotide long non-coding RNA. The record is from Ensembl. Lineage: Eukaryota; Metazoa; Chordata; Actinopteri; Siluriformes; Ictaluridae.
GUGCUUUGGACGCUUCAAACUGCAGGAUUACUCAGCGGAAUGGAGUCACACUCCUCCCAUCAUCAACAAACCCAGACACAGUCCGAUGUUGACCUUCCCCACUGUGGCUUCAGUCAGAUCCAAUAAAUCCAACUCCACUCAGAGCUCCUCAGCUUCCUCACACUGCAUUGAACACCACUUCAAUGUGAAGAGACCUGACCUGGAUGUGGUGUAUCAGCAGAGCUUCAUCCUGCCUCGAGCGCAACGAGUACACACUCCGCUCCCCCGAGGGUGCAGGGUACACCACACACUCCCUAAACUGGAUCUCUACAGAGGUUCCUGACAACCACGUUUACUUCAACUAACGCUCAUUUCCAGCUUCACGCUACUGUUCUGUUUGGCGAUUAAUGCAGGACCG